Molecule: long non-coding RNA, 430 nt
Organism: Exaiptasia diaphana
Lineage: Eukaryota; Metazoa; Cnidaria; Anthozoa; Actiniaria; Aiptasiidae
Exons: 3
Source: RefSeq, a predicted model, not a curated record
UAACCUGUCCCGUGUGCGAUUUCUAUUUGUAGUUUCUUUGGAAAGUACGAACUCCCAAGUUUUAAAGUUCCGACCAUUAGUAGGCUUGAAGUUUUAGUCGUUCAUACAAUAGGAAAAAAGGAGAGAGAAAAAUGUGACACUGAAUCUAUAAAAAUUUUGAUGAAAGAUGCAAAAUUACGUGGUUUGAAGGUUGUGUGCUAUGACGACCCUGAUGAUGUCCGACACAUUCUGUGCACUGAUCAUCCAAAUGCGGAACAAUGCAGGUUUAAAGGUCUACUUGGUGACGGACAAGAUUAUAGGUAACCAAUUCAUGUCUUUCCUUUGUUCUUAAGCUGCUGGCCUCUCACCGCUGUGGUUCGGGUCGAUUCUCAGGAAAAUCCUCCUUUGCACGGACCAUAUGUGAGUUUGAGUUUGUUACAAUGAAUGAGUU